Molecule: long non-coding RNA, 9122 nt
Organism: Gallus gallus (chicken)
Lineage: Eukaryota; Metazoa; Chordata; Aves; Galliformes; Phasianidae
Source: Ensembl
GUGCAAUCACACCUCCCUGCUGUCCCACCACGUUCUGUGCAAGGACUCAGAGAAUCCCUCACAGGACAUUGACUUUAAGCCUUCGUUCUGCCCCUGGAGCUCAAUUCUGCUGGCUGCAGCCCCCCACAUUCACUGCAUGGAUUCCCAGCCAUCGGGCUCUCCAUGCAGGCACUAUGGCCAGAGGGUUGUGCUUGUUGUGGGUGGGAUUUGGGGACAGUUCUUCCUAAAACAGGGCAAGGAGAAAAAAAUAGAGCAUUUCUACUUGUCUGUCUUUGCAGUGUCAGCUCGUAUGCUAUGACCGUGAGACAAAGGAGCAUUUGGCUGUGCAAGGAAUAUGGGGACUUUAGGUUUCAUUGCACACUUCUGGCAAAUGCAACAAAUGCCAUGUGCUUACAUGUUUAUUGUUUGUAACUCUUCAUGUAUUGCAAAAGGAACCGUGCACUGACAUAAUGGCAGCAAGCAGAGCAUCAGCAAGCAGAGCAUCAGCAAUGCAGAGCCGUGGCUUCCCUCCUUCUCCAGUUCUGCUGAAGCAUCUUUCAAAAUCCACAUUAAAGCCCGAAAGCUGCACACGGGAUGGGAGAUCAUGUGGGAAAGAUCAAAGGGAGAGGUUCAGGCAUGAUACAAACACAGGUGCAUACGAAAACCAAAGUCCACCAAUCUUUUCUGGUUGUCGUUUUUCCCCACUUCUCUCUCUCCCCGGAGGGGCGCUCAGCUGAGCCGCAGCCUCCACGCAGAACGGUGUCCGUGCACUGAGGCAGCUCCUCGACCUCUGAUGCUUUGCAGCAUUUCUCACAUCAUUCAUCUUAAAAGCGGCGUCGGCAGCGAAGAGAGCGGCGUGUGAUGGCCGGGAGUGCUUUCAGCCUUUGGGGAGCAGCAGACGUUGUUCAGCGCCUUGCAGGAGCUGCUGGGGACCUCUCAGAUGCUGGCUUGGCUCGUCCUCUGCUGUGCCAUACAGAGCACCCAAGGAGCCCUUUGUGCCCCAUCUUCCGCAGUCACACAACAGCACGCACAGCCCAGGUGGGCUCAGCACGUUGGAUUUGAGAUGAGCAGCAGCACUCUGACAGUCCGUGCACGUUUUGCCAGAGCCCAUCCACCCCUCGGAGCCCACAAGUGGCACAAACCAUCCUGGGACGUUUGCUGCUGGAUGCUGUGCCUUACUUGAAGGACAGAAGCACACAUUACACAGCAAAGCCUACGCUCACCCUUACACGCCCUCCCUCCUCCUGACCACCACCCGCCAUCCAGACUGCAUAAGGAUACAAAGAACAUACACUUGAGAUACAGUGUCCCAUCCAUCAGCCCGCUCUGUUGGGACACUGCUGGAGGUCCCAGCACGCAGGAGCACUGGGAAUGAAGGGUUCUGUGCUGGGCACCACAGCCCCGGGGGAUCGGAGGGACAUUGGCUGCUGGAUGGGAAGAGCUGCUCAACAGCAACAACUGCAGCACGCGGUCUGAGCCUUCCGCUUGGCCUGCCUUGUGAUUCAGAGACUCAACUUUCAUCUUGAAUAUAUAUAUACACGUGUAAUUUUAAUUGGCUGUAACGUCCUCAGAUAGUAACACAGUUAACAGAGUUGGGUGAAGGGCACAAGAGAAAAGGAACUCAAAACAAUGGGGGAAAAUUUGUGUGACUUGCUAACAGAAAUAACAUGUUCAUAAUUACAUCUGGGGGACCUAAGAGGGUCCCAUGGCAUUUCAGUAACCUUACUCACAACCUGAACCCCCCCCCUAGGAGAAGAAAGUACACUGUGAAGCACUGCAGCCCUGCAGACAGCAGUUACUGCACUGCUGCAGGUGUGCUGAUUUCCUUCUGCUGCCUUUUCUCCUCAUACUCCUUCCGCCCACCCUACAAGAAACAGUCUCCAUCAUUGCAGAGGAGGAAAAGCCUCCUUGCACGUGCAAAGGAGUAACAGUGAGGCGGAGCACCUCACCCCAGCAGCACCGUGCAUGGUUGUAACACCAGAGUCCAUCACUCAGUUUGGGACCGGAGCAAAGGCCGGAACCAUUGCUUAACCUGAGCGCAUCCAACGCACCCAGCAGAUCAGCUCCUAAAUGCAUCACGUGAACAUGGAUAUACGCUCAGAUCGAGGUCAUAUAACGAGAUGCUCCGACUAACAUCUGAUGCACCGGAUUCCUGGGAGCGUGCCGUGGGCUCAGCAGCACUGCCAGCACCCUGCAGGUACCCGUCGUGCUGCCCUGCACACCUGCAGGCUGCCAGCUGGGGCUCGUGAGCACACACAGCCACUGCUUGCUGCUGCACAGCUCGUGCAGCCACGGGAGGGAGCGUUGGCAUGGCACGUAACUACAGCCAUGCUGCCAGACACCCGAAGCAAUGAGCACUGCGUUCUGCCCAGCUGGUACCACGGGCCUUGAUAUCAGAGCAGAGCACGCAGAGCAGAGGGCACAGGCCCCACCCCAGCUCUGCCACGUGCUGCUCGAUGGCAGGAAAAUCAGAGAGCAGGCAAUCCAGGUCCCCAAUUAACUCUAUAAAAAGAUCUCGGACAGCAGCGUUAAUUCACCGAGCCCAACUCAAAGUGAGUCAGCCCCAUUGCAACCAGCCCAAAAUGGCUCCUAGCUGAUAAUAAUGGACCGUUUUUAACACAUUCAGCUUUUAUGAAGCUACUGUUGUUAUUAUUUUUCUUUUUUAUUGGCUAACAUUGAAGAUUCCAGCCGCAUAUAUAUCCCCCCCCUCCUCUAAAGAGAGAAUCAUUUUGUGCAGAAAAGACGAUCCUGAAAAACAGCCCAAUUAAACGUGCAACUAUUUGUAACCUUUUGUGUUACUGCAUGGGGUGGUGGAGGAGCAGCAAGGCUGGAAAACACAGCAUCGUGGGGAAAUGUAGCGUAUUAUUAGAUUUGAUGAGAUCCAUUUUCCUGAUGGCUUCUGAAAGAUCUCCGUGCUAAUUAGCUAAGAAUACCGCUGAAUUAUUUAAUUAUCUCUACUUUUGUGCCGUGAAAUAUGUUGUCAUAUCACACACGCUAUCUCGCCGUUGCUGCUCACACUUAAUGAUGCCUUUAUAGUUCGUGAUUUCCUUUGUUCUCCCCCUGUAAGUGGGUUUUGGUGGUGCUGGGGAGGGGAGGGUGCAGAGAAGGACGCAAAGCAAAAAUAUCUGCUUCAGAAGAAAAUCUGACAUGUGGGAAAACCUCCAUGCACUUCUCUCGAGCUCCGGUCCCCUUUGCCACACGCAGAGCAUGCUUUGCCUCCACAGAAUGUCUCGGUGCUGCAGCGGGGCUGCACUCAUUGCUAACGCAAUGGGGAUUGCUUUCCAAAGGAAGAGCAAAGAAAGCAUCGCCUGGCAAAAUUUUAAAGCAGCAAGGAGCGUUUUUAACAAGGAAGAGGUAGAUUAUGGUAAUGACUCUGACUGGUAGGGUCCUUAAGCAUUACUAAUUAGCAUUUAUUGCCUGGAUUAUUGAAACAAUGUGUGUGUUCCCAAGAGUGAAGAAGAACCGGGAUGCUCUUUCCUUCCGAGCGCUGGGAACGGGGCCGGGCAGCAGCGCUGUGCAGUUGGCAGUGGGUGAGCAGAGCUGCACGGUGCCAGCAGGAACCCACAGCCCCGCCAGCUGCUCCACCUCACAGCCGCGCUCCGCUCUGCUCCCAGGAAAGAAAAAAAAAAAACCCCAAAAUAAUAAUUAAAAAAUAGGGCAGCACAAAAGGAAAGCGGCCAUUAAAGCGCUCAACGCAUUUGGCAGGAGGAGCAGGUGAGCGUUUACCUGAUACUCUGCCUUCUGUUCCUACCGGGGCUGUGCGCAAACGGAUUAUGAAUAAACAUUUCAUCACGUUAAAGCACUGAGAAAUGAAAGAGUUAACAGCACUGACAGCAAGAGGUGCAGAAUUCUGCCAUUUGCAGCGAGCGCUCGGCUGCCUCGAGAUGACUUUGAGGCUGCAGUCAGAUUUCCUCCUAAGCUGCGCCUUCAUAGCAACAAAGAUUUAUAAGGAGAAUGAAGUUUUGAAUUAGAAAUCAAUUAGAAAUUAAUCGAUCAUCUAAUCAGCACUGGUCGCUACGCUCAGCUAUAGGAUCUCAGCUACAAUUUGGUGGCUGGCCCAAAAAAAUCCUUAUGCGCUUUGGAAAUGAUUCAGAAGGAAAAGACAGAGUUUCCUCCAGGUUUGGAGCCACGAGGCCAUGCAGCCUCACGUUAAAGCAAAAGGGCAGCGAUGGAAGAAAGGUGCAGAAAGCCUUGGAUUAUUUUUAUCCUCUAUGUCUUUUUACAGCCACCAAACCCGAGCGCCUUUCAACUUGGGAAAGCAAGUUCCAACUCAGCUGCAAGGAGGUCAGACUCCCAGAGCUGGAUGCUCCAGCUGCUGCUCAGACAGAACUCCCACAUAUCGGAGCUGUGCAAAACCGGAGGGUUGUUUUAUUUUUUUCUAAGUGCAAUAUUCCACAAAGACAGACGUUACUUUGUCCUCCGUGUCUCCCUUUAAUUAUCUGCAGGACGUGUUACACAGAAUACUUGGGAAUGUGUUAAAUUAAAUGUCAGGAUGCCAUAUUCCAUAUAUCCCUAACUGCAACGAGCCCCAGCCUGGCAUUUUGUAGAGCUGAAUAUGACCUUCGAUCCGCACCGAGCCCGAUUCCUUCUCUCUGUUAAUUCAACUCACGCCCAACACUUAUUUUUCUCUGCCAUUUUCCUUUUCAAACACAAAACUGCUUUUUGCCCACAGCUUGCUUUCAUUCUGGUUAAAACGCACCGGAAUGAAACCAGCACUGAAGGAACGGUGUCAGGCUGAGACGAGCUCUGCCUUUACCGCUACGGACACCACGCCAAAGCGAACCCCGAACACAACAUCCCUCCUUUUGUCUGCAGAAGGCAAAGAACGCCGCAGAAGCGCAGCGCUGAAGCGCAGCUCCCUGCCCAGCACUCCCUCCCGUCGGCUAUUAAUACCGCAGCUCCGUUCGGGGAACGCUGACAUUGGCGCAGCGCCCCGCGGAACCUGCGCUGGGGGCCGAGGGGCGAGAAAACGCCUUCCGUCUCACUCGUUCUGCCUGGAAAAGCAAAGGACGGGGUCCGGCUUCGUGACCUCCCUCCCUGUUUUAUCACCGUAUGGUUUCUUUACUCUCGGUUACCCCGAUCGUAUUAUUUUUUCCCCUUGCAGCAGCAAGGCCCGGAGCAGCCGCGCUGUCCCUUUAAGCCGCCAGCCCCUCUAAUUGAUGUGUCUGGGCGAGUCUAGACUGGUAGUGAUUGAACCCGCUCCCAAUUAUGUUCUUCACUGCGCCGGAGCUGAGCGCUGCGCGCCCGGCGGGGAGGGGAGCGGGCGCUGCCUCUGCAGCACGGAGAGCCCCCCCACCCCCCACUCCUCCUCCUCCUCCUCGGCGCCCCCCUCCCUUCCUCGGUGCUCCCCCUUUUCCUCAGCCCCCCCCCGGCCAUUGUUUUGCCGCAGCUCCGCGCAUCGCCCCCUCCGCAGCCGCGCAUCGCCCCGCGGCAGCGCGCAGACAAUAGCGCCGUACCGCCCCCGGGGGCUGCAACAAAGCGCGGCCCCGCGCUGCAAGCUGGGUUUCAAAUGGGCUCUGGUGGGGGAAAAAAUAAUUAAUAAUAAUAAUAAUAGUAAUAAUAGUAAAAGGGAAAGUAGUUUUUGUCUGUCUGUCUGUCCGUGCCCUGCGCGGGGAUGGGGUCAGCACAAAGGUGGGCGGGUUGCUGCGCGCUGCGCUCCGCUCCCUUUGCCCAGCAGGUAAUGGGACGCUCGGAUAGGUUUCUCGCUUCGAAAUUCGGGGUAACGUACAAACGCGGCUCAGUCGGCAUUGUUUUCAUAACGGUCAAUAAAAUUACAGCGUCAAUAGAAAGCAAAAAUACACAGCACCGAGAAGCGAGCAGAACCUUUUCCACUUCGAUCCCUAUUAAACAACGGUACCGUCGGGUGUGUGCGGAGCGCUGAGAGAACCCGACGUUGCACCAUCGAUUCAUUCUCGGUGCAUUGUGGUCGGAGUUAAAGCAUUUGCAUUCAAAUAUCAGACAGCAAUUCGGUGCCAUAACAAGGUACAGUAACUGCAUUACAAAUCGCCUUGCAGAACACAGAUAAGAAAUACAGUUCCAGCCAUAAUUAGUUUUACAGCAGCAUUAAAAAAAAAAAUAUCUAAUAAGGAAAACAGCAGCGGGGAACACUUUUAACAUUUCUCGUUUGACAUUUACAUCGCGUUGGGACUGAAAAACCAGGAAGCUGGACGUUCCAGAAAAGGACUACAACAAAAGUUCAGCGUUUGCUGGUCAUUUCUUUCAGUCAUUUCCAACCAGGGGUGCACGCAGCCAUUUUAUUCUUUAUUUUCGCUCUAACAAGCAGUGAGAUCCGACCCUUCUCCUGGCUGGAUAUUUUUCCUCCCCCCCCCCCUCUCUCCGAAGAGCACAUUUCUAAGAUUAAUCGUUCGGUUUUAAACUUGGAAGCAUGAGGCAUGCUGGGAUUUCAGCUGAGGUCAAGCACCAAUGUACCGAGCUGUUACUGUUACGCUCUCAGGGUACUCCGUGCUGCUCUCAAGGAGGAAAAUAGCAAGGAGAGAUGAUGCUGUGCGCCCGCACCGGCCUGCAGCAAGGCACAGCUCUCCCAGCAGGAAAACACGGCUCUGGCUAUUAAUACACCUCCGUAUGUAAAUAUAUAUACAUAUCUCGGGUUUAUUUACCCCCAUACAUAUUCAUACACACGUAUCGUCCGUGUGUGUCUCUAUACACACACCUCAAGAGCUGUAUUUCCAUGCAUCCAUCCCGCGUGUCUCUUAUCUACACACGCGUGGAUGUAAUAACGCCGUGUGUACACACAGACACCCCCGUACAGCAUCACUGCACAAUCAGCCCGUGAAUACACACACACACACACACAGACCGAGAGAAACCUCCGGCAUAACCAACGCCGUGUUAAUGCGAGGUUGGGAAGGUGAGCGGCCACCACUGCCCUGCCAUGAGGAGAGCUGCACUUUGCUUUGCUUCCCCCCCCCCCACCUCCUUUAAAAGGUCUAUGAAACAGCGCUGCAUGUGUGUGUAUAUUCUCGAUAUACCCGCAUAUACAUUUUAUAGAUAGAUAGAUAGAUUUAUAAAAAUAAAAUAAAGAUGUCAAAGCACAACUCACAGCUCCCAAGAGCCUAACCCGUGGAUUUAAAAGCUAAACAUCACAAGUUAGGGUCUCAGGGAUUGAGAGGGGCGCAACGAGCUACUCCUGGCAGAAACCGGGGAGCAAAAAUAAAAGGUAAAAAGGAGAGAGAGGGAAAGAAUAGCAGGCAAGUUCAAUUCCUGGCUCAAGAUUACAAAACAGGACACACAGGUGGAAGGAAAGAGCUUCUCUAAGGACCCUGUGUUGAGAGAAUACAUUCCAUUUUUAAUCGUUCGCACAAAAAAAUGACAAGGCGCGGCAGGUUCCUUACAGCUCCCACCAAGGUCGCUUGCGACAAAUGCAUUAAAUAACGAAGAGGAAGAAAGAAAGGGAAGUUCGGGGCAGUGACGGAAUUAUUUUCAUUGUUUCAACGAAAAGGAAUGCAGAAAUAAGAGCAGGAAUAUGCAGGCUCUCCCUGCAGCCGCCUGGCACAAAGCGUGCAGCAGCAUAAAGGAGCUGCCUCCCCGCCCCCUCCGCCAGCCCGCGGCCGGCGGGGAUGGAGAAAAACCCCGAGCCGCGAGAAAAUCAGGGAAUAUAUCAAGGAAAAGGGGGGAAAAGGAACCGAAUUCCUCCGCAGCUCCUCGCCCCGCCGCCCUCCUCCCUCCGCGCUCCCCACCGCCGUUGUUGUUAUUAUUAUGAUCGCUGCGAAGGGACGCGGCCGGGGGGGGUCCGCACGCCGCGGCCCUCUCCUCACCCCCCAGCAGCAGCCGGGGGCGGCCGGAGCGGGACCAGCCCUGCGCUGUCAGCGCUGCCGCAGCCCCGUUGCGGCCCGGGGGCUCCGGAGGGAAACCUGGAGAGAAACCCCGGGCAGGAGGGACCCCGCGCCCCGCACGCACCCGCACACACAAAGGGACUCCAUCCCGCACCGACUCCUCUCCGAGCACCUUGUGCAACCCCAGCCAAUGGAAAUUUACGCCGGCCAUAACCGAGAGCAGGAUUUCGUCCCCAGCUUGCCACCUCCUUCUCCGCUCUUCUCUCUUUCCCUCCCUCCCUUUCCUCCCUCUUCCCCCCCUUCCUCUCUCCCAACCCCCCCCUUCCACCCCCCCCACCCCCCCCCCCAAAUAAAUAAUAUGGAUCCGCACCCUCCACCCAUCUCUGGGACCGCUUUAGGCCCAGCGGCAUAACCGGGGAGAAGCCCAAACGUACCGGAGGGCCCGAGUUGAAAAAAUGCAAAAUAUCCGCGGCUCCUCAUCCGCCGCUGCCGAAAGCAGAAACCCCCCCCGGCCCCGCCGCUCCCCGCCCCGCAGCCGCCCCGCACGGCACCGGGCACCACCACCGCCCCAUCCUCACCCACCCCGUCCUUUUCUCACCUCGGGAGUCUGAGCCCAUUCACCAAAGUCCUUCCUCGUCCAGGCUCUCAAAAUCUUUUUUUUUUCCUUUUUUUUUUUUUUUUUUCUCCUCUUUCCUCCUUCUGGAUCAGCCAGUCCCGACAUCAUUAAACUACAGUCCUCCUCUUCCUCCUCCUUCCUUCUCCCCCCUUCUUAUUUUUUUUUGUUUUGUUUUGUUGUUUGUUUUUUUUUUUUUUUUAAUUUCGAAAAAGGGGGAGUGGAGGGGAGGGGGGGGCUGGGGGGGGGGGAGAGCAGACAUAGCUGCAUGAAGUGGCUGCCUUUUAGAAAGCACAUUUAAUCUUUACUGGCUCCCCUAGGCUUCGAUGAAGUAGAAGGGAAAGGAGAGGAGAGGAGAGGGGGAAAGAAAAAAUACAGGCAAGGGAGGCUGUUGAGGGACAGCAAGCAUCAGGCUCAAAUCAACGACCAGAUGAAAAUGUACUAGACCACACUGCCCCCUCUCUUCCUCUCGCUCUGUCUCCGUCUCUCUCACACACUCUCACUCCUGGAAAGCUUCAGUGUCUGGUUACAGACUCUUUUGGAUCCUUCCCCCCCCCUCCCCACCCUCGCCCUUUGCCAACUAUCCUAGAGAUUCCUUGCAUGCCUACUUAAAUCUUUAACAGAAUAAGGACCCGGCUCCCCCCGCCGCCGCCGCCAGCCUCGCGCAACACCCCGACCCGCUCCCCCCUCCCCAAUAAUCCCUUAAGCUCCCGGGAGGAACCGCCGCGGCCGCCCCG